ACGCUAGCUACAGGCUUAACACAUGCAAGUCGAGGGGCAGCAUGGUCUUAGCUUGCUAAGGCCGAUGGCGACCGGCGCACGGGUGAGUAACACGUAUCCAACCUGCCGUCUACUCUUGGACAGCCUUCUGAAAGGAAGAUUAAUACAAGAUGGCAUCAUGAGUCCGCAUGUUCACAUGAUUAAAGGUAUUCCGGUAGACGAUGGGGAUGCGUUCCAUUAGAUAGUAGGCGGGGUAACGGCCCACCUAGUCUUCGAUGGAUAGGGGUUCUGAGAGGAAGGUCCCCCACAUUGGAACUGAGACACGGUCCAAACUCCUACGGGAGGCAGCAGUGAGGAAUAUUGGUCAAUGGGCGCAGGCCUGAACCAGCCAAGUAGCGUGAAGGAUGACUGCCCUAUGGGUUGUAAACUUCUUUUAUAAAGGAAUAAAGUCGGGUAUGGAUACCCGUUUGCAUGUACUUUAUGAAUAAGGAUCGGCUAACUCCGUGCCAGCAGCCGCGGUAAUACGGAGGAUCCGAGCGUUAUCCGGAUUUAUUGGGUUUAAAGGGAGCGUAGAUGGAUGUUUAAGUCAGUUGUGAAAGUUUGCGGCUCAACCGUAAAAUUGCAGUUGAUACUGGAUAUCUUGAGUGCAGUUGAGGCAGGCGGAAUUCGUGGUGUAGCGGUGAAAUGCUUAGAUAUCACGAAGAACUCCGAUUGCGAAGGCAGCCUGCUAAGCUGCAACUGACAUUGAGGCUCGAAAGUGUGGGUAUCAAACAGGAUUAGAUACCCUGGUAGUCCACACGGUAAACGAUGAAUACUCGCUGUUUGCGAUAUACUGCAAGCGGCCAAGCGAAAGCGUUAAGUAUUCCACCUGGGGAGUACGCCGGCAACGGUGAAACUCAAAGGAAUUGACGGGGGCCCGCACAAGCGGAGGAACAUGUGGUUUAAUUCGAUGAUACGCGAGGAACCUUACCCGGGCUUAAAUUGCAGAUGAAUUACGGUGAAAGCCGUAAGCCGCAAGGCAUCUGUGAAGGUGCUGCAUGGUUGUCGUCAGCUCGUGCCGUGAGGUGUCGGCUUAAGUGCCAUAACGAGCGCAACCCUUGUUGUCAGUUACUAACAGGUUCCGCUGAGGACUCUGACAAGACUGCCAUCGUAAGAUGUGAGGAAGGUGGGGAUGACGUCAAAUCAGCACGGCCCUUACGUCCGGGGCUACACACGUGUUACAAUGGGGGGUACAGAGGGCCGCUACCACGCGAGUGGAUGCCAAUCCCAAAAACCUCUCUCAGUUCGGACUGGAGUCUGCAACCCGACUCCACGAAGCUGGAUUCGCUAGUAAUCGCGCAUCAGCCACGGCGCGGUGAAUACGUUCCCGGGCCUUGUACACACCGCCCGUCAAGCCAUGGGAGCCGGGGGUACCUGAAGUGCGUAACCGCGAGGAGCGCCCUAGGGUAAAACUGGUGACUGGGGCUAAG
RNAcentral lists this ribosomal RNA (1448 nucleotides) under uncultured organism. Its description in RNAcentral is "SSU rRNA". It matches the Rfam family "Bacterial small subunit ribosomal RNA". The record is from RNAcentral.